CCAAGGCGUCCGAUCGCGACCCCAG
RNAcentral lists this ribosomal RNA (25 nucleotides) under Camellia sinensis. Its description in RNAcentral is "partial 28S ribosomal RNA". The record is from RNAcentral. Lineage: Eukaryota; Viridiplantae; Streptophyta; Magnoliopsida; Ericales; Theaceae.